RNAcentral lists this transfer RNA (63 nucleotides) under Chamberlainia hainesiana. RNAcentral's name for it is "tRNA-Leu". The record is from RNAcentral. Lineage: Eukaryota; Metazoa; Mollusca; Bivalvia; Unionida; Unionidae.
UGCAAGUUAGUAUAUAAAUACAACUGACUUAGGAUCAGUAAAUAAGCAACCACUUACUUGCCA